AAGAUCUUAGGUUAAUGUAAACUAUUAGUCUUCAAAACUUAUGAUAUGUCGAAAGCGUAGGUCUUG
Molecule: transfer RNA, 66 nt
Filed under: Allonautilus scrobiculatus
Lineage: Eukaryota; Metazoa; Mollusca; Cephalopoda; Nautilida; Nautilidae
Description: tRNA-Trp
Rfam family: tRNA
About the family: Transfer RNA (tRNA) molecules are approximately 80 nucleotides in length. Their secondary structure includes four short double-helical elements and three loops (D, anti-codon, and T loops). Further hydrogen bonds mediate the characteristic L-shaped molecular structure. tRNAs have two regions of fundamental functional importance: the anti-codon, which is responsible for specific mRNA codon recognition, and the 3' end, to which the tRNAs corresponding amino acid is attached (by aminoacyl-tRNA synthetases). tRNAs cope with the degeneracy of the genetic code in two manners: having more than one tRNA (with a specific anti-codon) for a particular amino acid; and 'wobble' base-pairing, i.e. permitting non-standard base-pairing at the 3rd anti-codon position.
Source: RNAcentral